GACGAACGCUGGCGGCGUGCUUAACACAUGCAAGUCGAGCGGAAAGGCCCUUCGGGGUACUCGAGCGGCGAACGGGUGAGUAACACGUGAGUAACCUGCCCCAGACUUUGGGAUAACCCUCGGAAACGGGGGCUAAUACCGGAUACGACACAGCUUCGCAUGGGGUCUGUGUGGAAAGUUUUUCGGUUUGGGAUGGGCUCGCGGCCUAUCAGCUUGUUGGUGGGGUGAUGGCCUACCAAGGCGACGACGGGUAGCCGGCCUGAGAGGGCGACCGGCCACACUGGGACUGAGACACGGCCCAGACUCCUACGGGAGGCAGCAGUGGGGAAUAUUGCACAAUGGGCGGAAGCCUGAUGCAGCGACGCCGCGUGAGGGAUGACGGCCUUCGGGUUGUAAACCUCUUUCAGCAGGGACGAAGCGUAAGUGACGGUACCCGCAGAAGAAGCGCCGGCCAACUACGUG
This 462-nucleotide ribosomal RNA is filed under the name uncultured bacterium. RNAcentral describes it as "partial 16S ribosomal RNA". It matches the Rfam family "Bacterial small subunit ribosomal RNA", at positions 28 to 507 of the family's 1533-position model. The record is from RNAcentral.